GCCUGUGGGAGUUCGUCCUAGCAGCCCCCGGUGCCAUAACAGCCUGAGCAUGUCCAAAACCGGAAGCUAAGCGGGAUCAGACCUGUUUGGGACUUGGAUGUGGGACCACCUAGGGAGACCGGGGGCUGGGGGCU
Ribosomal RNA from Chlorocebus sabaeus (green monkey), 134 nucleotides. NCBI's taxonomy places the organism in Eukaryota, Metazoa, Chordata, Mammalia, Primates, Cercopithecidae. The record is from Ensembl.